This is a long non-coding RNA of Belonocnema kinseyi, 602 nucleotides long. RefSeq lists it as uncharacterized. The record is from RefSeq and is a predicted model, not a curated record. Lineage: Eukaryota; Metazoa; Arthropoda; Insecta; Hymenoptera; Cynipidae. The transcript is spliced from 2 exons.
AAAUGGACGCAUCGUCUUAUACGUGCGUCAUUUUUUCACGCAAUUUUAAACAGUUCUUGUGUAUUUAAUUAUUACGAUUGUCUAAAUUCGGAAAAAAUAUUUUGUCAAUAUGAAAGUAGCUGGUUGCAGUUCCGAAGUUGGCUAAUAAAUAAUCCAUUUUCUCACCAAGAUUGAGCCUGCAAUAUCCAGCCUCUCUCCUUCAAAAAUGUUCAUUGUUGAAAAAAAUUUCGAUGAUUAAUUUCGAUUAUUAUGAAUUAUUAUGAAAUUUUUAUCAAAAUGCUUUUACAUAAACGUUUAAAAAAAUAUAUGUAAAUAUUUUGAGAUAAUGAUUUUUAGACUAUAACAAUUCUAUCUUGAGACAAUGGAAUAUGAUAUCUCGCUUGUUGAAAUGGAAUUCUUUUAUUAAUAAAAAUAAUUUCGAAGCCCUAAUGGCGGAGAUUAGAUGUUUGGAUUUUGUCAAUUUUCGUGAUCAUCGAUGCUGUAAGUACGGACGAAAAUGUUUGAUACGACUUCUCGGUUGUCGAAGUGGAAUAUUUUUAUUUAAUAUUAUUACUUUUUAAUUUAAGGACUGAGAAAAAUGUUAGAUACAAUCUCUCGGUUGU